This 434-nucleotide ribosomal RNA is filed under the name uncultured bacterium. RNAcentral describes it as "bacterial SSU rRNA". It matches the Rfam family "Bacterial small subunit ribosomal RNA", at positions 355 to 786 of the family's 1533-position model. The record is from RNAcentral.
UGAGGAAUAUUGGUCAAUGGUCGCUAGACUGAACCAGCUAAGUAGCGUGCGGGAUGAAGGCCCUCCGGGUCGUAAACCGCUUUUAGACGGGGAUAAAAGGGCGUACGUGUACGCCGUAUUGCAUGUACCGUCAGAAAAAGGACCGGCUAAUUCCGUGCCAGCAGCCGCGGUAAUACGGAAGGUCCGGGCGUUAUCCGGAUUUAUUGGGUUUAAAGGGAGCGUAGGCGGACUUUCAAGUCAGUGGUAAAAUCGUGUGGCUCAACCAUACCUCGCCAUUGAAACUGGAAGUCUGGAGUGCACACAGGGUGCCGGAAUUCAUGGUGUAGCGGUGAAAUGCUUAGAUAUCAUGAAGAACUCCGAUCGCGAAGGCAAGUGCCCGGGGUGCAACUGACGCUGAGGCUCGAAGGUGCGGGUAUCGAACAGGAUUAGAUACC